UGCCAAAGCAGUGGAAACGCUGGGACGGAAAGCUAAGAGGGACUAAGGCAGAAAUGCUAUGUCAGCCAGUUGC
This 73-nucleotide non-coding RNA is filed under the name human gut metagenome. RNAcentral's name for it is "Cyclic di-GMP-I riboswitch". It matches the Rfam family "c-di-GMP-I riboswitch aptamer", at positions 11 to 83 of the family's 87-position model. From Rfam's summary of the family: GEMM was predicted in a large-scale screen for bacterial structured RNA regulatory elements. Genes associated with GEMM are involved in a diverse array of functions, including chemotaxis regulation, signal transduction, secretion and chitin. The record is from RNAcentral.